Molecule: ribosomal RNA, 466 nt
Filed under: uncultured bacterium
Lineage: Bacteria
Description: bacterial SSU rRNA
Rfam family: Bacterial small subunit ribosomal RNA
Source: RNAcentral
UGCCCAGACUCCUACGGGAGGCAGCAGUGAGGAAUAUUGGUCAAUGGCCGAAGGGCUGAACCAGCCAAGCCGCGUGAAGGAAUAAGGCCCUACGGGUCAUAAACUUCUUUAGUCAGGGAACAAAGGGUGCCACGCGUGGCGCUGUGAGUGUACCUGAAGAAUAAGCAUCGGCUAACUCCGUGCCAGCAGCCGCGGUAAUACGGAGGAUGCGAGCGUUACCCGGAUUUAUUGGGUUUAAAGGGUGCGCAGGCGGAGGUGCAAGUCAGCGGUCAAAUUGCGGGGCUCAACCCCGUACUGCCGUUGAAACUGCAUCCCUUGAGUGCGCGAGAAGUAUGCGGAAUGCGUGGUGUAGCGGUGAAAUGCAUAGAUAUCACGCAGAACCCCGAUUGCGAAGGCAGCCUUCCGGCGCCCUACUGACGCUGAGGCACGAAAGUGCGGGGAUCGAACAGGAUUAGAUACCCCCGUA